CCCCUGACUCAGGACCCUCCCUGCAGGCACGGGAUCCACGUUGUCAGCUGGUCCUGCCCGUGGAUGGGGCUGACACAGAAGCAGAGAAUUCCGCGGCGACUACGUGAGGGCCACUACUGAAGGAUGAUUCAUGUGAUUCUCAAACCUCCCAAAGGACCUGAGCUCAUAGGGACACUCCUGGACCAGGCAGCCUCAAGACAUGCGGCAUCUCACACAGGCAGAGCCGCAGUAGACCAAUGGCUACACGAAGACUCAGAAGCAUCUGAAGAUGAAUGAGGGCGAGAUGAACUCACUCUAUUAAUAUUAUUUAAUGGCACAAAGUAAAGGGACUGUGUAGGUGCCCGGAAGGUAAUAAGCAUUUUACGUCAAUCUGGUCCUGUGUACACCAAUUCAACCCUCACAACAACCCUGUGAGGAAGGGCCUGUUACUAGUUUCACUUACGGAGGAGGAAAACUGAGAGGUUAGAAAUGUGGCUGGCUCACAGAGCUAGAAAGCAGCAGGACGCAGCCCCGGGCAGCUGGCUGCAGACCCUCAGCUCCACUGCAGCUCCGCUUUGCCGGCUGCAUUAGAAGUGCACACGGAUAAUGAAAAUACCUGCCAGAUGGGGUCCCGAGUGCUUUACCAAUUCUCUCAUGAAAUCCCCGUUCAACUCCAUGAGGGAAUCCCCAUCCAACCCUGCAGGAAACACCAGAUACACCUAGACUGGGGACAUUCUACAGGACACCUGGCCAUACUCAAGGCUGUCAAGGUCACAGGAAAUAGGAUGGAGACACUGUCACAGAGCAGAGGAGGCCAGGAGACAAGACAACGAAACGCAACAUGGUUUCCUGGAUUGGAUCCUGGGACACAAAGAGGCCCCCAAUGAAAAAAUGGGGAAAUUAAAACACCACCUGUAACAUGUAACAAUGGGCUUGCUCUGCUGGCCACAAUCUGAGCCAAUUAAUCACAACAAGUUAGAGAUCGAGAAAGGAAAUUUAAUUAGAUUAGCCAGCUAAUGGGAAGAUGGCAGACUAAUGUCUCAAAAAACACAUCUUCAAAAAUGACAGAAUCUUGAGGCAGUUAUAUAGGGAAACGGGCUAUGAGGAAGGGUCCAGGGAUGCUGGUCUCCAGGCGUCCCAUUGUUCCAUUCUUCUGUCAGCUGUGAUAGACUCCUUGUAGGUGUAUUUCUCACCUGUGGUCAGCCUUUUCCUGGAGAGAAACUCAUAGAACAAAGUUGUAAUUGAUCAGGGUGUUGGGGAGGACAUACGCAAGCGGAGGCCACAAAUCAGGAGAGCACGUGAAUUUUUUCGAGUACAUGCAGAGCAGAGAGUAGUCACACAGAGGAGGAGCUGGGCCAUUUAGUGUAACAAGACAGGCUCACAUGCUCACUUACAGAGCCACUUCACGUGAACUGUGGCUGUCAAUCAGGAAACCAGUAACUUCAUACUCAAAGGAACUAUUCCUAACACGUCUUCAAGUUAUAUCUGCUCACUUACUAAUGGGGCGGAGAUUCUUCACUGCUUUUCCUGCUGCAGGAGUCAGUACAGCGAUGGUACAGCGAGCUGGAGGCCCUUCUGUCCCGUACGUCAUAAGCUUCAAUCGUCAAAUAAAACAUAUUGUCUUCAUUUGUUACUGAAGCAAGCAGAAAAUGUGAAACUUCAUUUCCAAGUUCCAGGACGACUUUACAGAAUAUGCUAUUGAAACACAAUCUCUUAACUUCGUUAGCCUAGUGUCUUGAGAGGGAAAAUUCUUCGUCAUUCCACACUGCUUUUUAAACUCAAGGUGCCCUGGGGCCUUACAGACUUCAGCCUUUUUUUUCUUAAACACAUUUGUGUUCCUUCCUCUAUUAAAUUAUUUGUAUGCAAAAUGAGACUUAUAGAAAGUAACUUCUUUUGCUUUUCAGAUUCUAAUUUCUAAGGAAACUGAAGAGAACUGUGCUUUUUUCACUUAACAAAGUUGUUAGUGCUGUCUCUUUGCAGUUGACCUUAAGGAAGACCUCAUGUUUACCUUCUCCAGCCACCAGGGGAGAUGAGCCACAGUUACGUUCUUGGUCAAGAGACCUGCAAGGUUAAGUGUGGUCAUUUGAGGCAAAAAUUUUUGACCUUCUCUCCCUCAGGUCUGAGGGCUCGCCCCAGUGCUGGGCCCACAAAGACGUCUUCCAUUUGGAAGCUCCCCUGGGCUGGACCGUGGUGACUGCAGCUGCUGCUCUCCGGCCCCCAGUGUGAAAAGAAAAAAUGCUCAUUAUGGAAAAUUUGCUCCCAUGCUGAAGACAGAAAGAACUCUGCGUUUGCUCAACAAAGGGGGUCUUUCUAAGGAAAGACUCUUAAAAAAUCCAGACAAAGGAAAUCCCUCCUCCGUGUGAAGAGAUUUGUGAUUCUGGAUACGUGCCUGAUUGUUCCGUAAACCAUAGGUCUGUUGCUGAAAAGAAAAAAAGUCAACCUGUCACACGCAACCCAGACCACCAGGGCCACAGCCCGGCAGAGGCCACAACGCGGGCCAUGCGGAGUGCAAGGUGUCCGCGUCCUCGCCCCACGUCUGCCCCCUGCCUGGAGAGCAGGCCCACAAAGCUGUGGUGGGCGCUGAUUCUGCACUCAACAGUGAUCUGCAUCCUGAUCCAGGUCCACCGAUGACAGUAUCUGUGAGCAAGUUUCAGAAUUUCUGCUGCCUUGACUGUCACCGCAUAUGCACACUGUAAAGAUGCUCCGAAGAAAUAGGGCUGUGCUAACGAGGACAGCUGUUUAAUCUUUUUGUUAACCUUCCAUUCUGGAAUGUUGUUUGCUGCAGAGGAGUGGGACCGAUUUGCAUGUCCUCAGCUAUGUCAGAGCUGGGUUUGCAGAUGGAAAGCUGUAAGAAUGUGACCUAGAAUGGCCAGCAGUCACAACCUCCGCUGGAUGCGUGGACAAGAUCCCCUUCCAUGAAGGUCUCGCCCCAGCUGCUGGCAGCGUUGUUGGCACACAGCUUUUGGCAGUCAGUCUUCAGGGCCGGCCUCAGCUGCAGAGAGCCUACUCACCCGGCAGACCACAUCCAAAGACCGGUUGGUGCAGGAGCCAGGCCAUGCCGGUCCAGCGUGGGGCAACUCUGAAGGACCCUCUAACCCCACAGUUUCUUGUGGGGUCCGCCUAGGCUGGCACUGGGCCUGCAUCACAGCUCGACUUUCCUUCUGACUGAUCCUGCAUCCUGCUUUCCUUCCACAGGCGUGAACCCUGGGGGCACUCCUCAAUAAAGUGUCACGCUCUGAGCAUUGAACUCCAUCUCAGGGUCUUCAUUCCAGCCCGCAACACCCACCACACAGGAAACUUGGAAGAAUGAAGUCAUCGUGCAAAGAGAAUCUGAACUAGAGAAGGAGAGACAAGCAGUGAGAGAAGUGGUUGGAUGCCAUCACCCAGGGGCCCGUUCCAGUCUUGGCAUCCUCUGGCUACACUGUGUGGGCCAGCUUGUCCACACUUUAGAUGUUUUGUUUUAAAGCUGGUUUGAGCUGGCUUUCUGAUAUUUGGAGCAGACAGAGUCCUGACUAAUGCAGAGACCAGCUAAACAAACUGCAUGGGUUGCUUUUUUAAAAUUGAUUAAAA
Molecule: long non-coding RNA, 3549 nt
Filed under: Equus caballus (horse)
Lineage: Eukaryota; Metazoa; Chordata; Mammalia; Perissodactyla; Equidae
Description: lncRNA (ENSECAG00000052099.1)
Source: RNAcentral